GUUAAGGUGGCCGCCGAUGGUUCCGCCCCUCGUGGGUGGAUGAAAAGGGAACAGGGUGCGGCGCAUGUCGCCAAUGCCCUGGCUGCCCCCGCAACUGUAAGCGGCGAGCGAAGCCCACAUGCCACUGACCUUCGGGUCGGGAAGGCGGGCGGAGCGUCGAGCCGCGAGCCAGGAGACCUGCCAUCGCACCUCCAACCAC
Molecule: non-coding RNA, 199 nt
Filed under: Aquipseudomonas alcaligenes
Lineage: Bacteria; Pseudomonadati; Pseudomonadota; Gammaproteobacteria; Pseudomonadales; Pseudomonadaceae
Source: RNAcentral